CGGGUGUGGGGACCUGCUGAGAGAAUCUGGAUAUGAUAGAUUCUGUGGUAUGUAUUAUGCAUCAAACCUGUAGUUUAAGAUUCUAGUGAUUAAACCAUAUCCGACUGUUCAGUUGUGGGGAUCUUCUGAAGGAAACUGGUUAUGACUUCUUCUGGGGUAUGUAAUAUUCAUCAAAUGUGAAGUUUAGGAUUCUAGUGAUUACUUAAACCAUAUUCCACUGUACUGAAGCUCGCUUAUCAAAUAAAAUAUCUUUCCUUUUGGCACAGCAGAGUAUUUUCCCCCCUGAAUACGACAUGGAGGGCAGGUUCCACGGGAAACCUGCUACUGUGUGGUCACUGGGAGUGCUCCUGUUCGUAAUGGUGUGUGGACGCUAUCCCAAAAAUAAGGACCUGCUGAAGAUAGAUUGCUGCCAUCUGAUUCGGCGUCUCCUCCAGCAAGACCCAAGCCGGACUCUUCCACACCUUAGCAUCUUUUGGAGCUGGCAAGCCUUGGUGGCACCUAGACAGUCCUAAAAUGCCCUGUCACCUGUCAUCGUGGUCCCAGAAUUUCCUCUCAUGGCCGCCCAAGAGGUUCAUGUGAAAGCUGUUUCUGCCACAGCCAGCCUAGAGAUUCCUGUCUUGGCCUCUCCAUUCCUCAGCUCAGCAUCUGACAGACUGACAUCAGUGGCCUUAGCAUCUUGCAAAGCUGCCAAGCCUUGGUAGUCUGGUGCCUUGGCUUGAGGCAGUAUCAUAACAGCAUACUUUAACAAUGUAGUUACUGUACAGUUGGUUCAAUAGUUUAUAUAAACAUGGUUCAAUAGUUUAUAUAAUCGAUACAUAAAAAAACUAUUUUGCCAUGAUUACAAGUGAUUUUUAUAUAUCACAACAACAUAGUUUAGAAGCAUACAGUAUUUAUUUAUAUAACAUUAUGGCAUACAGUAGUUUACAGCAUAGUUUAACAAUGUACAAUUU
Cyprinus carpio carpio is the source of this 950-nucleotide long non-coding RNA. Lineage: Eukaryota; Metazoa; Chordata; Actinopteri; Cypriniformes; Cyprinidae. The record is from Ensembl.